UUUAAAUGUAAAUAAUUAGCUGAAUAAUUAAUAGAUAUGACCUUCAAAGUUAAAUAAUUUGGCGGUAUUUUAGUCUUUUCAGAGGAACCUGUUCUAUAAAUGAUAAUCCACGAUGAAUUUGUCUUAAAUUAGAAAUUUUUAUAUCAUCGUUAUUAAAUAUUUUAUUAGAAAAUAAUAUUUAAAAAAUAAAAUUUUAUUAUAAUUCAGAUCAUGGUAUAGUUUAUAUUUAAGUAGUAAUGGGUUACUAAUGUUUAAAAAGUUGGAUUUUAAUUUUAAAAAUUUAAAAUAAAAAUGGAUUUGAAAGUAAUUAUUUUAUUUAAAAAUAAUGAUUUAGCUCUAAAAUAUGU
This 347-nucleotide ribosomal RNA is filed under the name Scymnus longmenicus. RNAcentral's name for it is "partial small subunit ribosomal RNA". The record is from RNAcentral. Lineage: Eukaryota; Metazoa; Arthropoda; Insecta; Coleoptera; Coccinellidae.